This 191-nucleotide unclassified non-coding RNA is filed under the name uncultured Cortinariaceae. RNAcentral describes it as "sequence contains ITS2". The record is from RNAcentral. Lineage: Eukaryota; Fungi; Basidiomycota; Agaricomycetes; Agaricales; Cortinariaceae.
AUAUACAUAUAUCAAGCCUUCUCUUGUAGAAGGGUUUGGAUGUGGGGGUUUGCUGGCCUCUUAAGAGUUCAGCUCUCCUGAAAUGCAUUAGCAGAACAACCUUAUGUUCAUUGGUGUGAUAACUAUCUACGCUAUUGAAUGUUGAGGGGGAAGUUCAGCUUUCUAACGGUCCCUUGGACAACUCAUCAUUA